RNAcentral lists this ribosomal RNA (809 nucleotides) under uncultured Pelagibacteraceae bacterium. RNAcentral's name for it is "bacterial SSU rRNA". It matches the Rfam family "Bacterial small subunit ribosomal RNA", at positions 33 to 890 of the family's 1533-position model. The record is from RNAcentral. Lineage: Bacteria; Pseudomonadati; Pseudomonadota; Alphaproteobacteria; Candidatus Pelagibacterales; Candidatus Pelagibacteraceae.
ACGCUGGCGGCACGCCUAAUACAUGCAAGUCGAACGCAGUAGCAAUACUGAGUGGCAGACGGGUGAGUAUAAUGUGGGAAUAUGCCUUUUGGUUUGGAAUAACUUGGGGAAACUCGAGCUAAUACCAAAUAAGCCCUUACGGGGAAAGAUUUAUCGCCGAAAGAUUAGCCCGCACUUGAUUAGCUUGUUGGUGAGGUAAAAGCUCACCAAGGCAACGAUCAAUAGCUGUUCUUAGAGGAAGACCAGCCACAUUGGGACUGAGACACGGCCCAGACUCCUACGGGAGGCAGCAGUAGGGAAUCUUGCACAAUGGAGGAAACUCUGAUGCAGCGAUGCCGCGUGAGUGAAGAAGGCCUUUGGGUUGUAAAACUCUUUCGUCGGGGAAGAAAAUGACUGUACCCGAAUAAGAAGGUCCGGCUAACUUCGUGCCAGCAGCCGCGGUAAUACGAAGGGAUCUAGCGUAGUUCGGAAUUACUGGGCUUAAAGAGCUCGUAGGUGGUUAGAAAAGUUGGUGGUGAAAUCCCAAGGCUCAACCUUGGAACUGCCAUCAAAACUUUUUAGCUAGAGUGUGAUAGAGGAAAGUGGAAUUUCUAGUGUAGAGGUGAAAUUCGUAGAUAUUAGAAAGAACACCAAAAGCGAAGGCAACUUUCUGGAUCACUACUGACACUGAGGAGCGAAAGCAUGGGUAGCGAAGAGGAUUAGAUACCCUCGUAGUCCAUGCUGUAAACGAUGUGUGCUAGACGUUGGAAAUUUAUUUUUCAGUGUCGCAGCAAAAGCGUUAAGCACACCGCCUGGGGAGUACGACCGCA